GACGAACGCUGGCGGCGUGCUUAACACAUGCAAGUCGAACGGUAAGGCCCUUCGGGGUACACGAGUGGCGAACGGGUGAGUAACACGUGGGUGAUCUGCCCUGCACUUCGGGAUAAGCCUGGGAAACUGGGUCUAAUACCGGAUAGGACUCCUGGCUUCAUGGUUGGGGGUGGAAAGCUUUGCGGUGUGGGAUGGGCCCGCGGCCUAUCAGCUUGUUGGUGGGGUAAGGGCCUACCAAGGCGACGACGGGUAGCCGGCCUGAGGGGGUGACCGGUCACACUGGGACUGAGAUACGGCCCAGACUCCGACGGGAGGCAGCAGUGGGGAAUAUUGCACAAUGGGCGCAAGCCUGAUGCAGCGACGCCGCGUGAGGGAUGACGGCCUUCGGGUUGUAAACCUCUUUCAGCUAUGACGAAGCGCAAGUGACGGUAGUAGCAGAAGAAGGACCGGCCAACUACGUGCCAGCCGCCGCAGUAA
RNAcentral lists this ribosomal RNA (477 nucleotides) under uncultured bacterium. RNAcentral's name for it is "partial 16S ribosomal RNA". It matches the Rfam family "Bacterial small subunit ribosomal RNA", at positions 28 to 523 of the family's 1533-position model. The record is from RNAcentral.